This 253-nucleotide ribosomal RNA is filed under the name uncultured bacterium. RNAcentral's name for it is "partial 16S ribosomal RNA". It matches the Rfam family "Bacterial small subunit ribosomal RNA", at positions 524 to 776 of the family's 1533-position model. The record is from RNAcentral.
GACGAACCGUCCUAACGUUGUUCGGAAUCACUGGGCUUAAAGGGCGCGUAGGCGGUCGGCAAAGUCAGGGGUGAAAUCUUUCGGCUCAACCGGAAAAGUGCCUUUGAAACUAGUCGGCUCGAGUGAGGUAGGGGCAUGUGGAGCUUCAGGUGGAGAGGUGAAAUGCGUUGAUAUCGGAAGGAACGCCGGUGGCGAAAGCGACAUGCUGGACCUCUUCUUACGCUGAGGCGCGAAAGCUAGGGGAGCAAACGGG